UAAAACCUUCACAUUCACACUCUUAUGGCCGACCAAGCAAGGGAACAAAGAGAAAAAGAGAAGAACAAACCCUAGGAAGGAAAAAUUCAAGAGAAAUUGUUGGAUUUCAAGGAAUCAAGCAAGUAAAGGUGGUGAGCCCUCUGAUAAGGGUAAAGAUAUUGUUCCCGAGGACCAAAAAUAAGAGUACUCCAAACUCUUGCUAUUGCACAGGACAGUCUAUAGACAACCAAUUUUAUCGAGGGUUGCUUUUGGAUUUGCAUCCUUAGAAAUCGAAGGUCUACAGUCUUGUAUAUUUACGGUUAUUUUGGGGCCCACAUGUCAUUGUAGAAUAUUUUUGUAUACCUGGUUUAGUGUGCUAUUAUAUAUAUGAAUUUAUU
RNAcentral lists this small RNA (377 nucleotides) under Theobroma cacao (cacao). RNAcentral describes it as "sRNA Tc03v2_g006580". The record is from RNAcentral. Lineage: Eukaryota; Viridiplantae; Streptophyta; Magnoliopsida; Malvales; Malvaceae.